This 253-nucleotide non-coding RNA is filed under the name uncultured bacterium. Its description in RNAcentral is "partial 16S ribosomal RNA". It matches the Rfam family "Bacterial small subunit ribosomal RNA", at positions 524 to 776 of the family's 1533-position model. The record is from RNAcentral. RNAcentral also lists the same sequence under 1 other name.
UACGAGGGGAGCUAGCGUUGUUCGGAAUUACUGGGCGUAAAGCGCGCGUAGGCGGUUUUUUAAGUCAGAGGUGAAAGCCCGGGGCUCAACCCCGGAAUAGCCUUUGAAACUGGAAAACUAGAAUCUUGGAGAGGUCAGUGGAAUUCCGAGUGUAGAGGUGAAAUUCGUAGAUAUUCGGAAGAACACCAGUGGCGAAGGCGACUGACUGGACAAGUAUUGACGCUGAGGUGCGAAAGCGUGGGGAGCAAACAGG